CAAUGGCGUAAACAGAGGGAAGCGAAGCGGUGACGUGGAGCGAAUCCCAAAAAUAACGUCCCAGUUCGGAUUGUAGUCUGCAACCCGACUACAUGAAGCUGGAAUCGCUAGUAAUCGCGGAUCAGAAUGCCGCGGUGAAUACGUUCCCGGGUCUUGUACACACCGCCCGUCACACCAUGGGAGUCGGUAACACCCGAAGUCGGUGGUCUAACCGCAAGGAGGACGCCGCCGAAGGUGGGAUUGAUGACUGGGGUGAAGUCGUAACAAGGUAAC
This 273-nucleotide ribosomal RNA is filed under the name uncultured bacterium. Its description in RNAcentral is "partial 16S ribosomal RNA". It matches the Rfam family "Bacterial small subunit ribosomal RNA", at positions 1228 to 1500 of the family's 1533-position model. The record is from RNAcentral.